GCCUUUGUAGCGCAAUGGCCAGCACACUCGGCUCGUAUUCGAGAGGUCCGAGGUUCGAAUCCCGGAGAGAGCA
Molecule: transfer RNA, 73 nt
Filed under: Stegodyphus mimosarum
Lineage: Eukaryota; Metazoa; Arthropoda; Arachnida; Araneae; Eresidae
Rfam family: tRNA
About the family: Transfer RNA (tRNA) molecules are approximately 80 nucleotides in length. Their secondary structure includes four short double-helical elements and three loops (D, anti-codon, and T loops).
Source: Rfam by way of RNAcentral